GAUGAACGCUGGCGGCGUGCCUAAUACAUGCAAGUCGAGCGAACGGACGAGAAGCUUGCUUUUCUGAUGUUAGCGGCGGACGGGUGAGUAACACGUGGAUAACCUACCUAUAAGACUGGGAUAACUUCGGGAAACCGGAGCUAAUAUCGGAUAAUAUUUUGAACCGCAUGGUUCAAAAGUGAAAGACGGUCUUGCUGUCACUUAUAGAUGGAUCCGCGCUGCAUUAGCUAGUUGGUAAGGUAACGGCUUACCAAGGCAACGAUGCAUAGCCGACCUGAGAGGGUGAUCGGCCACACUGGAACUGAGACACGGUCCAGACUCCUACGGGAGGCAGCAGUAGGGAAUCUUCCGCAAUGGGCGAAAGCCUGACGGAGCAACGCCGCGUGAGUGAUGAAGGUCUUCGGAUCGUAAAACUCUGUUAUUAGGUAAGAACAUAUGUGUAAGUAACUGUGCACAUCUUGACGGUACCCAAUCAGAAAGCCACGGCUAACUACGUG
RNAcentral lists this ribosomal RNA (497 nucleotides) under uncultured bacterium. RNAcentral describes it as "partial 16S ribosomal RNA". It matches the Rfam family "Bacterial small subunit ribosomal RNA", at positions 28 to 507 of the family's 1533-position model. The record is from RNAcentral.